This 991-nucleotide long non-coding RNA is filed under the name Phoenix dactylifera (date palm). Its description in RNAcentral is "long non-coding RNA (PDAC_LNC012350)". Lineage: Eukaryota; Viridiplantae; Streptophyta; Magnoliopsida; Arecales; Arecaceae. The record is from RNAcentral.
UAAUUUUAAUUCGCAUAUUUCGUAAAUUUAACCAUAAAAUAUGUGUUACCAUCAUCAUUGCAUUUUAAUAAUUAUCAGAGGUAAUUCAAGUUGAUUUAAUUAUUUAAUGGUUGAGUCUAAUGGAUGCAGGUCAAGUCGAAUUGAUUUAGGAUGAUCUCUGAACCCAAAUCACAUGCACCCCGCAAAUCAAGACCCUCUGAUUCAGUCACCUAAUUUUCUUUCCACUCGUUCCAACUCUUUCUCCACAUGAUCCAAUUUUAAUCUCAAAAACAUAAAAUCCCUUCAAUUAUUUGUCUCCCAGAUCUCAAAGCAUCCCAUCUUAAUUGCACGGAUCCCAAAACCUCAUCCCAUCUCAGCCAUUCAUCUUGCAUCCAAGUUACCACGGGUCAUUUCCUCCCAACAGCUUAUCUCUCCUUCAACUUCUUCCACAUACACCCAAGCCAGUCUUCCCGAGCAUCACGGGAGAGCUCUUUCUCCUUAUCCCCUGCUCCCAGCGAACCUUCCCAGAUUUCCCUCGCGCCCGUGUUCACCUUCCACGUCCACAAACCAAGCCAACAGCCGCUUGUAUUCAGCCUCAUCCACGUAUUCACCCCAUAUCCUAGCUCCGAACCAGUCAGUGUUCCGGAUUGAGCUUAUCCACAACCGCAAAUCAAAGAUUCAUCCUCUUCCCCUGUUUCGGAACAGAGACGGGAUCUUCUGCAUCCUAGGAUCAAUCGGGAUUCCUCCCAACAUUUCCUGCUUUCCACGAUGCACUCCACGCGUCUCAAGGAUUUUUCCGCCCCAGCUCCAACCUCUCUCGCAUCCGGAUAUCUCGUGUCCAGCCGGGAUGAGCAUCACGAACGGAUCUCAGCCUUUCAGCCGAAGCAUUUCAGUUCAUCCAACAGCCCGCACGCGUUUUAGCAUCAUCCGAACCUGCAGCUGAGAUUUCCAAACGUCCGAGCUUCCCGGAUCGUAGCCCAGCGAAUCCCUGCAUUCCGCCAACGGCAAAAGU